GGGCAUGUGGUGUAGUUGGUUAUCACGCUCGCUUAGCAUUAUUGUGCAUGCGAGAGGGGUCCGGUUCAAUCCCGGACAUGUCCA
Molecule: non-coding RNA, 84 nt
Organism: Panus rudis PR-1116 ss-1
Lineage: Eukaryota; Fungi; Basidiomycota; Agaricomycetes; Polyporales; Panaceae
Source: the annotation of a GenBank genome assembly